CUUGUUGAGCGGCCCCAUCGUUGGAGGACGAGACGAGUGGGUGAGCCGAAGUAGAGCGUGGGUGAAUGGAUGUUAUUUGGCUGUGGCCACACCGUAAAGUUUGGAGCACUUACCGUGCCAGCGACUGCAAACUCCUCCAGGACGAAAUCCGACCGGGCGCGGAGUACCGACCUUAAAAAUCACUGAAGUGUGUGUAGUGCAGUGGGUGAGUCUGUCUUUGACGUGUGUACACCAAAGCUUUGCAGUGCUGUGCCGUGUCCCUGUUGUCUGUACUCGCCCUCCAGGCCGAGAAAAGUUCCUGUUGGAGAGAACGUAGGCUGCCGUGGCGGUGCCCACCUAUCCCACCUACGCCCGCCUAUAACUCCGUUCCCCGGACCCAGCUUGAAGGUGAAGCGUGAAUGCAAAACAAGGUAUUGUGCGGAUAUUGAGGGGAAAGCUACUGACCUUGAAUACGCUCUGUAAGCCCAGCGUGAAGAUACAGUCACUUGUUGAAUACUUACCUGUCUGUAUGAGCUAAAAGCUAUUGCCCUUGAAUACGCUCUGUAAGCCCAGCGUGAAGAUACAGUUACUUUGUUGAAUACAUACCUGUCUGCAUGAGCUCGAAGCUAUUGAUCUUGAAUACGUUCAGUAAGCCCAGUGUGAAGAGUCAGUCACCUUGCUCAAUACCUAUCUGUGUUACGAGUAAAAAGUUACUCGCUUCUGAUAUACCGGUGGACAUCCAGGGGCAUGGCCUAGUUACCUUGCUACAUCCUUACCUCUGUUACUUACCUGUGCCCUCAGGGAUUUUUGUGUUACCCUAUACUUACCUAGGAGGUCUAUGGGAGUGGAGGAGCUGUCCAGACGCUGGAGAAGAGAAGGGCGCCACGGGAAAUCAAGCCGCUAAGGAAGGACUUAGGAUCAGUCAGGAGAUUGGUGGAAGUUCUGGGAAAGGACGAAAGAGCCCUUUGCCCCCCCUCCCCUUGUGAUUACUUACCAACGACCUUCAGAGUUCUCAGGCCCAGUCCCCUCCUGUCAAGAGACGAAAAUCAAAAUUUUAGAUUCCC
This is a long non-coding RNA of Cyprinus carpio carpio, 1043 nucleotides long. Lineage: Eukaryota; Metazoa; Chordata; Actinopteri; Cypriniformes; Cyprinidae. The record is from Ensembl.